GCUCGGACCUCGGCAGCAGGGAGAAGAGAGAGAAACUGAGGCACGGUUAAAAACGGGGGGGGGCCGGAAAUGUGGGGGGCGGACCCCCCCCCCCCCCCCAAAGCUCUGCCCCCCCUCCCCCACCACGUCCCGCCCCACAAGUCGCCCCCUCCCCACCCCACGUUUCUCCCCCCCCGGCCCCACGUCCCCUCCCGUGGGGCGGCAGCGGCGCCCGCGGUGGGACCCGGCCCCACGGCUCGUGCCCCGACCCACAGAGGCCGUGGGGCAGAUGUGGGGCAGAUGUGGGGCAGGGCAGCCCCGCUGUGGGUCACGAUGUGGGGCAGCCCCACUGUGGGUCAGCCCUGCUGUGGGUCAGCAGAAGAUGAGAUGUGGGUCAGGGCUGCUGUGGGUCAGAUGUGGGUGAGAUGUGGGUCAGCCCCAGCCCCUCUGUGGGUCAGACGUGGGGCAGCCCUGCCGUGGGUCAGAUGUGGGUCAGCUGUGGGUCAGCCCCAGCCCCUCUGUGGGUCAGACGUGGGGCAGCCCUGCCAUGGGGCAGCUGUGGGUCAGCCCCGGGCUCAUUGUGGCUCAGCAGGAGAUCAGAUGUGGGGCAGCCCCACUGUGGGUCAGCCCUGCCCUGGGUCAGCCCCAGGCCCACUGUGGGUCAGCAGAAGAUCAGAUGUGGGUCAGGGCUGCUGUGGGUCAGCCCUGGGCUUGCUGUGGGUCAGAUGUGGGUCAGAUGUGGGGCAGCCCCACUGUGGCUCAGCCCUGCCCUGGGUCAGCCUGCUGUGGGUCAGAUGUGGGUCAGCUGUGGGUCGGCCGUGGGUCAGAUGUGGGGCAGGGCGGGCAGGCUCUGUGGGUCCCUGUGGGUCUCUAUGGGUCAGAUGUGGGUCGCAGUGGGUCAGA
This 882-nucleotide long non-coding RNA is filed under the name Lonchura striata (white-rumped munia). RNAcentral's name for it is "domestica (Bengalese finch) lncRNA (ENSLSDG00000011267.1)". The record is from RNAcentral. Lineage: Eukaryota; Metazoa; Chordata; Aves; Passeriformes; Estrildidae.